Molecule: ribosomal RNA, 406 nt
Filed under: uncultured bacterium
Lineage: Bacteria
Description: partial 16S ribosomal RNA
Rfam family: Bacterial small subunit ribosomal RNA
Source: RNAcentral
AUUGAACGCUGGCGGCAGGCUUAACACAUGCAAGUCGAGCGAGCGGCGGACGGGUGAGUAAUGUCUGGGAAACUGCCUGAUGGAGGGGGAUAACUACUGGAAACGGUAGCUAAUACCGCAUACCAUCAGAUCGGCCCAGAUGGGAUUAGCUAGUAGGUGGGGUAAUGGCUCACCUAGGCGACGAUCCCUAGCUGGUCUGAGAGGAUGACCAGCCACACUGGGACUGAGACACGGUCCAGACUCCGACGGGAGGCAGCAGUGGGGAAUGUUGGACAAUGGGGGAAAGCCUGAUGCAGCCAUGCCGCGUGUGUGAAGAAGGCCUUCGGGUUGUAAAGCACUUUCGGCGAGGAGGCGUUAUUCGCAGAAUAAGCACCGGCUAACUCCGUGCCAGCAGCCGCGGUAAUUC